RNAcentral lists this ribosomal RNA (469 nucleotides) under uncultured bacterium. Its description in RNAcentral is "partial 16S ribosomal RNA". It matches the Rfam family "Bacterial small subunit ribosomal RNA", at positions 28 to 507 of the family's 1533-position model. The record is from RNAcentral.
GACGAACGCUGGCGGCGUGCUUAACACAUGCAAGUCGAACGGAAAGGCCCUGCUUGCAGGGUGCUCGAGUGGCGAACGGGUGAGUAACACGUGGGUGAUCUGCCCCUUACUUUGGGAUAAGCCUGGGAAACUGGGUCUAAUACUGGAUAGGACCAUGCUGUAGGUGGUGUGGUGGAAAGAUUAGUUUCGGUAAGGGGUGAGCUCGCGGCCUAUCAGCUUGUUGGUGGGGUAAUGGCCUACAAAGGCGUCGACGGGUGGCCGGCCGGAGAGGGGGGACGGCCACAUUGUGGCUGCGAUACGGCCCAGACGCCUACGGGGGGCAGCAGUGGGGAAGAAUGCUCAAUGGGCGCAAGCCUGAUGCAGCGACGCCGCGUGGGGGGUGACGGCCUUCGGGUUGUAAACUCCUUUCAGCCAUGACGAAGCCCUUGUGGUGACGGUAGUGGUAGAAGAAGCACCGGCUAACUACGUG